This 1209-nucleotide long non-coding RNA is filed under the name Anas platyrhynchos platyrhynchos (common mallard). RNAcentral's name for it is "lncRNA (ENSAPLG00000027725.1)". The record is from RNAcentral. Lineage: Eukaryota; Metazoa; Chordata; Aves; Anseriformes; Anatidae.
UUUCAUUAUCCAUCUAAGCCUUUUUGUUUACAUCCAUAUGAAAAACAGAAAAUAAGAAAGAAAAAGUUUUGCUUCCAAAUUACAAUAUGGCUUGGCCACAGAUGUUCCCAUUUUAACUGAAAUGGGCCUUUAACAAUUUUAAAAUUCUUGAUUUUAGCAGAGCUUAGAUAAGCUGUCAGUGAACAUGUAUGUCAAGUGAUAGGAGUCAAUCAAAUUCACAUAUUAUUUUUUGCAUUUCUCAAAUACCCAGCCAAAAUACAGUGUCUACUUCCAGUAGGAAACCAAACAGCUCAUCCCUCCUUAGGAAAAUGCAUAGCUUGACAUCCUGACAGUUAUGUUCAAUAUGAUGAAAUUCAUCACACAAGUUUGACAAAGAGGCACUACUUAAUGUGUUCUGAAUCUUUUUAAAGGAAUCAAGCAAAGCAGAGCAAGCAAGAUGAAGACAGACUGAUAAGCUACAGUUGGAAAGAAGAAAGAGAAGCAUGCACUCCACUCUAGCUCAACUAAAAUUUGCCUCAGUUCCAGUGGCUAUGUACCACCAACAUGCAGCAACUGAGAUCAAACUGCAGUCAGUGAACAUGACAAUGGAACUAAGCUGUGAAACUCUGAGCUGUGGAGGAAAGGCUGCUCUGACAAAAAAUCAGAGUCAAAAGCAAAUUUUCAAAUCCAUCUUGUGUGCUAUGGCAAUAUUAAACUGCAAUUUAUAAAUGAAGAUCAGAUUUAUUUCCACUUAAGCUGGCAAGACCAGUGAAGGUACUUUGGUUGCCAAUGCAGUCUGCGAUGGCUAGCAAGUAAGCCAAAACCGACAAGAGAAGAUUAUCCUUAGUUAUGUAAGUAAGAAACCAUUUGUAUUUAAUAAUGAGCUAUUACUACUGAUUAGCCACUUCAAUACAAUAGAUAAAUAAGGUAUUCAAAUAGCAGUUGAUACUACUAUUUUGAUAAACAAACAUUUGUGUUCUUUUGAAAACUACAAGUCUGACUGGGGCUCCACUGGAAGUGAUGGCACUUCACUAGGCUUUGAACUGGGGGCCUACACAGCAACCACAUUCAUCAAGUGCUUUAAAAAUAUAAUGAAAAACAACACUGCAAGUUGUACAACAUUGCAAGUUGUACAAUUUAACCAGCUAUCUUUGAGUGGCUUGAUUUUAUUUUAUUUUAUUUUAUUUAAGUAAACAAAUAAAUAAAUAAUAAGCCAUUGAUAACUACUCA